GAUGAACGCUGGCGGCGUGCCUAAUACAUGCAAGUCGAGCGAACAGACGAGGAGCUUGCUCCUCUGACGUUAGCGGCGGACGGGUGAGUAACACGUGGAUAACCAACCUAUAAGACUGGGAUAACUUCGGGAAACCGGAGCUAAUACCGGAUAAUAUAUUGAACCGCAUGGUUCAAUAGUGAAAGACGGUUUUGCUGUCACUUAUAGAUGGAUCCGCGCCGCAUUAGCUAGUUGGUAAGGUAACGGCUUACCAAGGCAACGAUGCGUAGCCGACCUGAGAGGGUGAUCGGCCACACUGGAACUGAGACACGGUCCAGACUCCUACGGGAGGCGGCAGUAGGGAAUCUUCCGCAAUGGGCGAAAGCCUGACGGAGCAACGCCGCGUGAGUGAUGAAGGUCUUCGGAUCGUAAAACUCUGUUAUUAGGGAAGAACAAAUGUGUAAGUAACUAUGCACGUCUUGACGGUACCUAAUCAGAAAGCCACGGCUAACUACGUG
This 497-nucleotide ribosomal RNA is filed under the name uncultured bacterium. RNAcentral describes it as "partial 16S ribosomal RNA". It matches the Rfam family "Bacterial small subunit ribosomal RNA", at positions 28 to 507 of the family's 1533-position model. The record is from RNAcentral.